Oncorhynchus keta (chum salmon) is the source of this 743-nucleotide long non-coding RNA. RefSeq lists it as uncharacterized. NCBI's taxonomy places the organism in Eukaryota, Metazoa, Chordata, Actinopteri, Salmoniformes, Salmonidae. The record is from RefSeq and is a predicted model, not a curated record. The transcript has 5 exons.
ACGUCCCUCCCACUCUGUGUGACGACCCUCCGUGUCAGUAGAAAGGCCUCUUUAGUGUCCUAAGUUUUCAUAACUGUGACCUUAAUUGCCUACCGUCUGUAAGCUGUUGGUGUCUUAACGACCGUUCAACAGGUGCAUGUUCAUUCAUUGUUCAUGGUUCAUUGAACAAGCCUGGGAAACAGUGUUCAAACCCUUUACAAUGAAGGUCUGUGAAGUUAUUUGAAAGACGACGUUUCUUCUUUCUGCUGAGUUUAUAGUAGUCUUGUCCCAGGCCAAGUGUGUGUGUGUAUGUUAUCCAGGUGUGUGUGUUACCCAAGUGUGUGUGUGUAUGUUAUCCAGGUGUGUGUGUUACCCAAGUGUGUGUGUGUAUGUUAUCCAGGUGUGUGUGUUACCCAAGUGUGUGUGUGUAUGUUAUCCAGGUGUGUGUGUUACCCAAGUGUGUGUGUGUAUGUUAUCCAGGUGUGUGUGUUACCCAAGUGUGUGUGUGUAUGUUAUCCAGGUGUGUGUGUUACCCAAGUGUGUGUGUGUAUGUUAUCCAGGUGUGUGUGUUACCCAAGUGUGUGUGUGUAUGUUAUCCAGGUGUGUGUGUUACCCAAGUGUGUGUGUGUAUGUUAUCCAGGUGUGUGUGUUACCCAAGUGUGUGUGUGUAUGUUAUCCAGGUGUGUGUGUUACCCAAGUGUGUGUGUGUAUGUUAUCCAGGUGUGUGUGUGUAUGUUAUCCAGGUGUGUGUGUGUAUGUUAUCC